RNAcentral lists this ribosomal RNA (474 nucleotides) under uncultured bacterium. RNAcentral describes it as "bacterial SSU rRNA". It matches the Rfam family "Bacterial small subunit ribosomal RNA", at positions 328 to 793 of the family's 1533-position model. The record is from RNAcentral.
CUCCCAGACUCCUACGGGAGGCAGCAGUAGGGAAUCUUCCACAAUGGGCGCAAGCCUGAUGGCGCAACACCGCGUGAGUGAAGAAGGGUUUUGGCUCGUAAAGCUCUGUUGUUGGAGAAGAACGUGCGUGGGAGUAACUGUUCACGCAGUGACGGUAUCCAACCAGAAAGUCACGGCUAACUACGUGCCCGCAGCCGCGGUCAUACGUAGGUGGCAAGCGUUAUCCGGAUUUAUUGGGCGUAAAGCGAGCGCAGGCGGUGGCUUAGGUCUGAUGUGAAAGCCUUCGGCUUAACCGAAGAAGUGCGUCGGAAACCGGGCAACUUGAGUGCAGAAGAGGACAGUGGAACUCCAUGUGGAGCGGUGGAAUGCGUAGAUAUAUGGAAGAACACCAGUGGCGAAGGCGGCUGUCCGGUCUGCAACUGACGCUGAGGCUCGAAAGCAUGGGUAGCGAACAGGAUUAGAUACCCCUGUACG